RNAcentral lists this ribosomal RNA (497 nucleotides) under uncultured bacterium. RNAcentral's name for it is "partial 16S ribosomal RNA". It matches the Rfam family "Bacterial small subunit ribosomal RNA", at positions 28 to 507 of the family's 1533-position model. The record is from RNAcentral.
GAUGAACGCUGGCGGCGUGCCUAAUACAUGCAAGUCGAGCGAACAGACGAGGAGCUUGCUCCUCUGACGUUAGCGGCGGACGGGUGAGUAACACGUGGAUAACCUACCUAUAAGACUGGGAUAACUUCGGGAAACCGGAGCUAAUACCGGAUAAUAUAUUGAACCGCAUGGUUCAAUAGUGAAAGACGGUUUUGCUGUCACUUAUAGAUGGAUCCGCGCCGCAUUAGCUAGUUGGUAAGGUAACGGCUUACCAAGGCAACGAUGCGUAGCCGACCUGAGAGGAUGAUCGGCCACACUGGAACUGAGACACGGUCCAGACUCCUACGGGAGGCAGCAGUAGGGAAUCUUCCGCAAUGGGCGAAAGCCUGACGGAGCAACGCCGCGUGAGUGAUGAAGGUCUUCGGAUCGUAAAACUCUGUUAUUAGGGAAGAACAAAUGUGGAAGUAACUAUGCACGUCUUGACGGUACCUAAUCAGAAAGCCACGGCUAACUACGUG